GAUGAACGCUGGCGGCGCGCCUAACACAUGCAAGUCGAACGAUUAAAGCACCUUCGGGUGUGUAUAAAGUGGCGAACGGCUGAGUAACACGUGGGCAACCUGCCCCUUUCAUUGGGAUAGCCACGGGAAACCGUGGAUAAUACCGAAUACUUCGAGACUUCCGCAUGGAAGACUCGAGAAAGCUCCGGCGGAGAGGGAUGGGCCCGCGGCCUGUUAGCUUGUUGGUGGGGUAACGGCCUACCAAGGCAAUGAUGGGUAGCUGGGUUGAGAGACCGACCAGCCAGAUUGGGACUGAGACACGGCACAGACUCCUACGGGAGGCAGCAGUGGGGAAUCUUGCACAAUGGGCGAAAGCCUGAUGCAGCGACGCCGCGUGCGGGAUGAAGGCCUUCGGGUUGUAAACCGCUUUCAGCAGGGACGAGGCGAAAGUGACGGUACCUGCAGAAGAAGCCCCGGCUAACUACGUG
This 467-nucleotide ribosomal RNA is filed under the name uncultured bacterium. RNAcentral's name for it is "partial 16S ribosomal RNA". It matches the Rfam family "Bacterial small subunit ribosomal RNA", at positions 28 to 507 of the family's 1533-position model. The record is from RNAcentral.